AGUAGUUGUGAGGUGUCUGGACUGCCUGCCUCUUCCAUUCCUUUGUGCUGACUGUGAUAUUGCAGUUCACACACGCUUUGUCCUGCACAACAGAGAGGCAGUAACAGGAGGGUUUUUGCAGCCUUCAUCAGAGUUUCACAAGCCAAUAGUUCGGCUGUUGCCUGUCCAAAGGCCAGACCAUGUGUGUGACUGCCCAGCAGGUAACGUUGAGGUUUCACCCGGCUCAAUUGUGGCUCUUGUAACCAUAAAUGGCCGUUAUAACCUUGCACUGCCAGUGGUGAGCUGCACCAGCUGUGACCUAAUGUGGUCCCCCUCAGUUAAGGACAUCCUGGGUAGUGGAUAUUGGCCUGGCACCUUAAAUUUCUGCACCCUGUUUUCAAUGGAUGUCUUUCAGUCUUUCUAUGACAUUAAGAAGGCUGCACCAGGGAUGUCACUUAAGGCAUUUGUCAAAAUGCUGGAUGAACGAACAGCCCAUUUUGGAAGGACUGGCCGAAUAUCAGCUGAUGCCUUCAGUAGAAGUUUCUUGGAGUGGAGUGCUGUAAAGUUUGAGGUGGACAGGAUGUGCAAGGAGCCAUGCUUUAGCUGCCCUGCCUGCACUCCAGACAUGCUUGCCGUCUCAGUUGA
This is a long non-coding RNA of Oreochromis aureus, 624 nucleotides long. RefSeq lists it as uncharacterized. The record is from RefSeq and is a predicted model, not a curated record. Lineage: Eukaryota; Metazoa; Chordata; Actinopteri; Cichliformes; Cichlidae. The transcript is spliced from 4 exons.